UUUAGAUCCGGAAAUCCCCUA
RNAcentral lists this unclassified non-coding RNA (21 nucleotides) under Mus musculus (house mouse). Its description in RNAcentral is "oocyte_clustered_small_RNA5832". Lineage: Eukaryota; Metazoa; Chordata; Mammalia; Rodentia; Muridae. The record is from RNAcentral.